GCGGCGUGCCUAAUACAUGCAAGUCGAACGCACUGACGUCGACAGAAGGUGCUUGCACUGGAAGUUGAUUGACGUGAGUGGCGGACGGGUGAGUAACACGUGGGUAACCUGCCCUUAAGCGGGGGAUAACAUUUGGAAACAGAUGCUAAUACCGCAUAAAAGUUGAGAUCACAUGGUCUUAAUUUGAAAGACGGCCUUUGGCUGUCACUUAAGGAUGGACCCGCGGCGUAUUAGCUAGUUGGUGAGAUAAUAGCCCACCAAGGCGAUGAUACGUAGCCGACCUGAGAGGGUAAUCGGCCACAUUGGGACUGAGACACGGCCCAAACUCCUACGGGAGGCAGCAGUAGGGAAUCUUCCACAAUGGACGAAAGUCUGAUGGAGCAACGCCGCGUGAGUGAAGAAGGUUUUCGGAUCGUAAAACUCUGUUGUUGGAGAAGAACAGGGACUAGAGUAACUGUUAGUCCUUUGACGGUAUCCAACCAGAAAGCCACGGCUAACUACGUGCCAGCAGCCGCGGUAAUACGUAGGUGGCAAGCGUUGUCCGGAUUUAUUGGGCGUAAAGCGAGCGCAGGCGGUUUCUUAAGUCUGAUGUGAAAGCCUUCGGCUUAACCGAAGAAGUGCAUCAGAUACUGGGAAACUUGAGUGCAGAAGAGGAAAGUGGAACUCCAUGUGUAGCGGUGAAAUGCGUAGAUAUAUGGAAGAACACCAGUGGCGAAGGCGGCUUUCUGGUCUGUAACUGACGCUGAGGCUCGAAAGUAUGGGGAGCGAACAGGAUUAGAUACCCUGGUAGUCCAUACCGUAAACGAUGAAUGCUAAGUGUUGGAGGGUUUCCGCCCUUCAGUGCUGCAGCUAACGCAUUAAGCAUUCCGCCUGGGGAGUACGACCGCAAGGUUGAAACUCAAAGGAAUUGACGGGGGCCCGCACAAGCGGUGGAGCAUGUGGUUUAAUUCGAAGCUACGCGAAGAACCUUACCAGGUCUUGACAUCUAGCGCCAAUCCUAGAGAUAGGACGUUCCCUUCGGGGACGCUAAGACAGGUGGUGCAUGGUUGUCGUCAGCUCGUGUCGUGAGAUGUUGGGUUAAGUCCCGCAACGAGCGCAACCCUUAUGAUUAGUUGCCAGCAUUUAGUUGGGCACUCAAAUCAGACUGCCGGUGACAAACCGGAGGAAGGUG
Molecule: ribosomal RNA, 1171 nt
Filed under: uncultured bacterium
Lineage: Bacteria
Description: bacterial SSU rRNA
Rfam family: Bacterial small subunit ribosomal RNA
Source: RNAcentral